GAAAGCAGAACUCGAGUGGUUGAGUGUCUCCCUUUUAAGGAGAAAGUUCUGGUUCAAGUCCAGGUGGUUUCA
Molecule: transfer RNA, 72 nt
Filed under: Lactarius sp. (in: basidiomycete fungi)
Lineage: Eukaryota; Fungi; Basidiomycota; Agaricomycetes; Russulales; Russulaceae
Description: Lactarius sp. (in: Russulaceae) tRNA-Lys
Rfam family: tRNA
About the family: Transfer RNA (tRNA) molecules are approximately 80 nucleotides in length. Their secondary structure includes four short double-helical elements and three loops (D, anti-codon, and T loops). Further hydrogen bonds mediate the characteristic L-shaped molecular structure. tRNAs have two regions of fundamental functional importance: the anti-codon, which is responsible for specific mRNA codon recognition, and the 3' end, to which the tRNAs corresponding amino acid is attached (by aminoacyl-tRNA synthetases). tRNAs cope with the degeneracy of the genetic code in two manners: having more than one tRNA (with a specific anti-codon) for a particular amino acid; and 'wobble' base-pairing, i.e. permitting non-standard base-pairing at the 3rd anti-codon position.
Source: RNAcentral